RNAcentral lists this ribosomal RNA (253 nucleotides) under uncultured bacterium. RNAcentral describes it as "partial 16S ribosomal RNA". It matches the Rfam family "Bacterial small subunit ribosomal RNA", at positions 524 to 776 of the family's 1533-position model. The record is from RNAcentral.
UACGUAGGGGGCAAGCGUUGUCCGGAAUCAUUGGGCGUAAAGCGCGUGUAGGCGGCUAGGUAAGUCUGCUCUGAAAGCCCGGGGCUCAACCCCGGGAGGCGGGUGGAUACUGUCUAGCUCGAGUCCGGAAGAGGAGUGUGGAAUUCCUGGUGUAGCGGUGAAAUGCGCAGAUAUCAGGAGGAACACCAAUGGCGAAGGCGGCUCUCUGGGACGGUACUGACGCUGAGACGCGAAAGCGUGGGGAGCGAACAGG